GGAGAUUUGGGGGCAUUGGAAUGAAGGGUUUGGGAAUUUAGGAUGGGAGAUUUGAGAUGAAGGAUUUGGGAAUUUGGUAUAAAAGAUUUGGGGGAUUUGGGAUGAAGGAUUUGGGAUCUUUGGAUCAAGGAUUUGGGGAUUUUGGACCAAGGAUUUGGGGAUUUGGGAUGGGGAAUCUGGGAUAAAAGAUUUGGGGAUUUGGGAUGAAGGAUUUAGGAAUUUUGGAUCAAAGAUUUGCAAAUUUGGAUUGAAGGAUUUGGGAUUUGGGAAUUUGGGAUGAAGGAUUUGGGAAUUUUGGGGUGAAGGAUUUGGAAUUUGGGGUGAAGGAUUUGAAUUUUUGGAUGAAUUUUGGGGGGAAGGAUUUGGAUUUUGGGAUGAAGUAUUUGGGAAGUUUGGGAUGAAGAAUUUGGAUUUUGGGGUGAAGAGUUUGGAUUUUGGGAUGAAUUUUGGGGUGAAGGAUUUGAAUUUUUGGAUGAAUUUUGGGGCAAAGGUUUUGGAUUUUGGAUUGAAGGGUUUGGAUUUUGGGGUGAAGGAUUUUGGGGUGAAGGAUUUGGAUUUUGGGAUGAAUUUUGGGGUGAAGGUUUUGGAUUUUGGGAUGAAUUUUGGGGUGAAGGAUUUGGAAUUUGGGGUGAAUGAUUUGGAUUUUGGGAUGAAUUUUGGGGUGAAGGAUUUGGAAUUUGGGAUGAAAUUUGGGGUGAAGAAUUUGGAUUUUGGGGUGAAUGAUUUGGAUUUUGGGAUGAAUUUUGGGCUGAAGGAUUUGGAUUUCGGGGUGAAGUAUUUGGGAAGUUUGGGAUGAAGAAUUUGGAUUUUGGGGUGAAGGGUUUGAAUUUUGGGAUGAAUUUUGGGGGGAAGGAUUUGGAUUUUGGGAUUGAUUUUGGGGUGAAGG
Molecule: long non-coding RNA, 886 nt
Filed under: Zonotrichia albicollis (white-throated sparrow)
Lineage: Eukaryota; Metazoa; Chordata; Aves; Passeriformes; Passerellidae
Description: lncRNA (ENSZALG00000008015.1)
Source: RNAcentral